UAGUGUGGUUUCUGCUGCUGCAGAUAGUUAUAUUUACUCUUCUCCUCCACCACCUUACGAGUAUAAGUCGCCACCGCCACCAUCACCUUCACCACCACCUCCUUAUGUUUACAAAUCGCCACCUCCUCCAUCCCCAUCACCUCCACCACCUUAUGAGCACAAGGCUCCUGCUUAUGAGUACAAGUCACCACCACCACCAACUCCUUCACCACCACCUCCUUAUGUGUACAAGUCACCACCACCGCCAUCUCCUUCACCACCACCUCCUUAUGUGUACAAGUCACCACCACCACCCUCACCUUCCCCACCACCACCAUACUACUACAAGAGUCCUCCACCACCUUCUCCUUCACCUCCACCUCCUUACUACUACAAAUCUCCUCCACCACCCUCACCUUCCCCACCACCACCAUACUAUUACAAGUCUCCUCCACCACCAUCUCCCUCACCUCCACCACCAUAUUACUACAAGUCUCCCCCACCACCCUCACCCUCCCCUCCACCCCCAUAUAUACACAAGGAUCCACCAUACUAUUACAAGUCCCCACCACCACCUUCACCAUCUCCUCCACCACCAUACUACUACAAAUCUCCCCCACCCCCUUCACCGUCUCCUCCACCACCAUACUACUACAAAUCUCCUCCUCCUCCAUCUCCUAUUCCCAAAACACCUUACUACUACAAAUCUCCCCCACCCCCUUCACCAUCUCCUCCACCACCAUACUACUACAAAUCUCCCCCACCCCCUUCACCGUCUCCUCCACCACCAUACUACUAUAAAUCUCCCCCACCACCGUCACCCUCUCCACCACCACCUUACUAUUACAAGUCUCCUCCCCCACCUUCACCAUCUCCUCCACCACCAUACUACUACAAAUCUCCUCCUCCUCCAUCUCCUAUUCCCCAUACACCUUACUAUUACAAAUCUCCCCCACCACCUUCACCAUCUCCUCCACCACCAUACUACUACAAAUCUCCUCCUCCUCCAUCUCCUAUUCCCCGUACACCUUACUAUUACAAAUCUCCCCCACCACCUUCACCAUCUCCUCCACCACCAUACUACUACAAAUCCCCUCCUCAUCCAUCUCCCAUUCCCCAUACACCUUACUAUUACACAUCUCCCCCACCACCUUCACCGUCUCCUCCACCACCAUAUUACUACAAAUCUCCUCCCCCUCCGUCUCCUAUUCCCCACACACCUUACUACUACAAGUCCCCACCACCACCAAAGGUCCUUCCACCACCAUACUAUUACAAUUCUCCUCCUCCACCUGUUGUGUAUCCUCACCCAUAUCCCUACCACCACUCACUUAUUGUGAGGGUAGUCGGUAAAGUCUACAGCUUCAGAUGUUAUGAUUGGAAUUAUCCUGCAAAGUCUCAUAACAAGAAACAUCUCAAAGGUACAUUACAUUUCUUAGGACCGGACCUCUUUAGAGUAAUGUGUUUAGAGAUAAUGCACAAUUUUUUAUUUUUUUAUCUCGUAAAGGUUUAUUUAUUAUAAUCACAAUUUCACUUUUGUCAAAAAGAAAAACAAUUUUACUAUAUAUAGUUUUAAUCAUUAACAUUUUGAUGUAAAAAGAAUACAAUUCUCUAUUACCUUUUUACUAUGAUAUAUAUACAAAGAUUAUUCAAAUCUAUAUAUCCAACCUAAUUUCCAUCCAAAAAAAUAGAAAACAUAGGGUGCUUUGAACGCCUGCAGCAUCACAUGAAUAAAUAAAAACAAUCAAUAAUCAACCUUGUUCUAAUUUAUUUUAGACAGCGAUUGUUAAGCAUACUGCUCUUUUAAUUACAUUUUUUUUAAAGAUGCUCUUUUAAUUAUAUUGUCCUAAUAUAAUAUGUGUCUUUAUAUAUUACUUGUCGUAAACUAAUUUUAUUAUGGGUGCAGGAGCUGUUGUUGAGGUGACAUGCAAAGCCGGGAGCAAAAUUGUCAAGGCUUAUGGAAAAACUAAGAACAAUGGAAAGUAUGCCAUCACAGUUAAGGACUUUGACUAUGUCAAAUAUGGUUCGACAGUGUGCAAGGCUGCCCUAUAUGCUCCACCUAAGGGUUCACCCUUCAACAUACCUACAAAGCUAAAUCAAGGAACAAAGUUGUACUUGAAAUCCAAAGACAAGUACGAGGUUGUGCUCAAGGCUAAGCCAUUUGCUUAUGCUUCAAAGAAACAUUUCAAAGAAUGUGAGAAGCCUAAGCCUUCACCAACUCCUUACUACUACAAAUCACCUCCACCUCCCUCACCAGUUUACAAAUACAACUCACCACCUCCACCGGUCCAUUAUUAUUCACCUCCAUACACCUACAAGUCACCUCCUCCCCCUGUGAAAGCGGCACCAACUCCUUACUACUACAAAUCACCUCCACCACCCGCACCGGUUUACAAGUACAACUCACCCCCUCCACCGGUCCAUUAUUAUUCACCACCAUAUACCUAUAAGUCACCUCCUCCCCCUGUGAAAGCGGCACCAACUCCUUACUACUACAAAUCACCUCCACCUCCCGCACCGGUUUACAAGUACAACUCCCCACCUCCACCGGUCCAUUAUUAUUCACCUCCAUAUACCUACAAGUCACCUCCUCCCCCUGUGAAAGUGGCACCAACUCCUUACUACUACAAAUCACCUCCACCACCCGCACCGGUUUACAAGUACAACUCACCACCUCCACCGGUCCAUUAUUAUUCUCCACCAUACUACUACAAGUCACCACCCCCACCAUCUCCAUCACCUCCUCCACCAUACUAUUUCAAAUACUAUUACAAGUCCCCACCUCCACCAUCACCAUCCCCUCCUCCACCUUAUUAUUACAAAUCUCCUCCUCCACCAAAACAAAUUUCACACCCUCCAUACUACUAUAAGUCACCACCCCCACCAUCACCAUCACCUCCUCCACCAUACUAUUAUAAGUCUCCACCUCCACCAUCACCAUCUCCCCCACCACCUUAUUAUUAUAAGUCACCACCCCCACCAUCCCCGUCCCCUCCUCCACCAUACUACUACAAGUCUCCACCUCCACCUAAAGAAAUAUCACAUCCUCCAUAUAACUAUAAGUCACCACCCCCACCAUCACCAUCCCCUCCCCCUCCAUACUAUUACAAAUCUCCUCCACCACCAUCACCAUCACCACCACCUCCCUACUAUUACAAAUCACCUCCACCACCAUCACCAUCACCUCCCCCUCCAUACUAUUACAAAUCUCCUCCACCACCAUCACCAUCACCACCACCUCCUUACUAUUACAAAUCACCUCCACCACCAUCCCCAUCACCACCACCUCCAUACUACUACAAAAGUCCCCCUCCACCAUCUCCAUCUCCUCCAUCCCCAUAUUACUACAAAUCUCCACCACCACCAUCACCAUCCCCACCCCCUCCCUACUAUUACAAAUCACCUCCACCUCCCUCACCAUCACCGCCACCUCCUUACUAUUACAAAUCACCUCCACCUCCCUCACCAUCACCGCCACCUCCUUACUAUUACAAAUCUCCCCCACCUCCAUCUCCAUCUCCACCACCUCCUUACCACUAUCAAAGUCCUCCUCCACCAUCUCCCAUUUCUCAUCCUCCCUACUACUACAAAUCCCCUCCACCACCAUCGCCGUCUCCUCCACCUCCUUACCACUAUGUGAGUCCUCCCCCACCAGUAAAGUCACCUCCACCACCAACUUAUAUCUAUGCUUCACCACCACCACCUCACUACAACUAAGCUCAAAGAGCAGAAGCUCCGUUCAUUAUAAAUCAUGUAAGUUUAUCAUCUUCAAUUUUCUGAAUGUGUGCGUGUGUAUUUGUUUUUUUGUUACAAGAUACUAACAAAAUUCUUUUCUUAUUUAUGUUCAGGUUUUAGUUUUCAUCUAGGAAUAAAGGCAAGCUCCAUUUGGAGUAAAGUGAAACUUCUAGCUUCGUGUCCGAAUUCGUUAAAUAAAUGUCGGGAUGUAUCGUCUUUGAGCUAUAAUAUUUCUGAUCCAGACAAUAUCUAUUUUGUUUCUUUGGUGGCAAUCUUGCACUUCCUGGUCUUAGUCUAUUCAAGUGACAGACAAAUCAAAAGGGAGAAGCGAGAUUAAUUUAUUUGUGAUCUCUUUGAUUUAUUUGUGCAUAUAUCAAUAUGAACGUGUAUGAUAUUUUUCUAUUUAUUGAAGAUUUUUUUACUGUAACCUGUUAUUGUGUUUGUCAAAAGGUGUUAAUAAAGAAUCACAUUCAAUUUCUGUUAAAUUAUCAGUAUUUGUUUCUUUCUAACAACUACCAUUCAUGCAAAUGUGGCUAUUAAAAAAAGCUCCAAUGACACAUAAAAAGCUUCCAAACAAUAUAUAAACAAAGAUGCAUUGUUUUCUGUUAAGAAGGGGACAGGGUUACGGUUACUUGUGUACCAAGUUAGUUAUCCAUGCUUUCUUGUUCAUAGGAUUUAUAUGGUGUAGUUGCACUUAGUUGCUAAAUGUAUGCAAGCUUUUCCUUUCUAUAAAUAAGCACACCUACUAUCAUUCUUCUCCACAUUCCUUUCUACUCUUCUAUCAUGAAUUGUUCAUCCACAUAAGAUGGUCACAGAGCACACCUAAUACUCUGCUACUGGUGUAUCAGUUCCUUUCCACCAGAAACUUAUGAUCUCUAAUUGAAAGAGAUCCUAAAGUUUUAAGAUUUCUACAAAAUACAUUAUUCUCAUUUUUGUACAAGUAUGAUACAAUUAUUCCCAAGUAUUAUUUAUUCUAAGGAAUAGAAUUUAGUUGUGGUUUCUCUAUUUAACCAACAUUUAUUUUUAAAUAACUAAAUUUAAAAAAAAAAUCCUGAAAUUAUUAAGUACAUACCUAACACAUUGUAAAAUUUUGUUCCCAAAGAAAAUAUUUUUGGCAAUAGAAUUUUCAGGAACUUCAUUCCUAGGAAUAUAAUUCUAUACUAAGAGAAGAGCUUAAGCAUUGAUACAUAACAAGACCAAUCCAUAUCCUAAUCACAAUCCUACUUUCACUAAAUACUUUCACUUAAGUGUGGUCUUGGAAAGGACAAAUGAAGAAAGACAUUCCAGAGGUAUGGUAAGGGACAAUAUCUGCAGUUAUGCACAUAUUGCAAGAUUGUGAGGAACUACCGGACUGAUUUGAUUCACCAAAAAAUUUGGAAUAAAUAUUUCAGCCCAGAACUCAGACAAUGACUGGAUUGGAACCUUUCAGCUUCUAAUAUCGGUACUGUCCAAGGAAAUAGUCAUUCUCUUUUUGGAGUAGCUGUGAAGGAUUUAUGGAAAGAUAGAACUAAGCUGGUCUUUUCUAGAAACACCGCGAUUGGAACUACUCUAUUUUGGCUUGUAGCCAAUCCGGCUAAGUUUAUUAACAAUGUAGUUUGUACUCAAGCUCACAGUCACGAUGUUGUCAGCAACAGUGGGCAUAUUGUUUAGGUAGCCUGGAAUUUUCCUCCCCAACACUUCUUCAAAGUGAAUAUGAUGGAUCUCUACGGGAUUAUGUUAGUUUCCAGGAUCGAACUCAGAACCUCCUGAUUAUAACUCCUUCAAUGUAUGUCCCUUACCCACGUGGGGCCUCGGCUGUAAUUGUUAACAUGGUAAAAUUUGGCUCUUCCAAUAAUGGUUUUAUCCAAACUCGAGGUUGUUUAUCGUCUCCAACAAUCAGAUUGGAGAAUACUAGUGGUUCAUGCAUUUGAACAAACCAACUGUUGUGCAGAUUUUCUAGUUGAUUUUGUUUUUCCUUUUUUGAGUAUUUUAUUAGCCAAUGAUAUAAGAGGUUGUAGCCUACCUCUUUUGAUUUCUUAAGACAAUCACUUUUGCAUUAGAAAAAAACGACCCUACAUAAAAUUAAUGAUUGAAUUAAGAUAUAACUUCAGUUUGAAAUAUUGUAAAAUUCUAUACCACCAAAAACUGAGAAUUUUAGAACCAUACAGGUUGGUGGAGUGGUCAUCCAGAUAACUUUAACAUAAUUAACAGUCCAAAAAGUAAAUAGCUUUAUCCUUUAUUUUCAAUCUGAUGUGAUUUACUCUUAUCUGUUAAACAUUAUAAUUAAGAAUCCAAAGGGAACACUCACCUAAUCUCUCUCUUUUUUCUAGCUUUUUCACUAAACCACUGUGUCUGUGGUUACCACAUUUCCUUAUGGAAUCAAUAUCCAAUUUAUGUUAAAAACCAUUUCUACAUUUUGUGUUAAAAAUGAUCUAAACAAAGAUGAUUUAUUUCUCUUAAAUUCAACAUAGAUCAUAUUUACAUGGUUCAAACUUUCUAUUACACGGCAUUGACUUAGUUGCUUCACAUGGGGACACAACUAAUGCAUAUAUUAUUUUAUAUGCUUAUAGUAAUUUUAACAAGUGGCAAUGGGGCAUAUGUUUUGUCAAAAAAACACAAAAAACAGGAGGCAUGUGCAACUGAAGUCACUGCCAGCUUGGCACUAAGAUAUAGUAAAAUAAUUGACAUUUGAAGAAAACAAAGACGUUGCUACAUUUCUAUUCAAACAAGCGACAUCAAUAUCAGACAAUGGUGCUACAUUUAAUAAUACUACAGCUAUCCCCAUAAGCACCUCUUAGAAAGAAAAAAAAAUAUCCAUUAAAUUAAUGUUGGAAGAGUUAGCAACAUGUCCUCUCCCAAAAAAACUCAUGUUUGAUUCCUAGAGUCGUCCAUUUCGAAAGAAGCUCAACCCUGAUAAUAAAAACCUAGAUGUUAUGCUGCAGACUUAAAGAUCAAUUUCAUAAUGGAUCCAAAGGGCCUAAGCUGUGUGGGAUACUUAAGGGGGUAUAUUGAGGCUAAGGGUCAAAGAUCUUAAUUAUGGUCGGUUAAAAAAAGAAGAAAAAAAAAUUAUCUCUAAAUAUAAAGUCAACAAUAUUUCAAAUUGCAAGAUACAUUUAUUUAUUUUUUAAAUAUGUAUAUACCUCUUAUUAAUACUUACUAAUUUGUUUUGAGUGAUAAAAAGUUACGAGUUAGACAGAUCAGCACAUAAAAAAAGUAUUUGAAAAACAUCUACCAACAAAAUAAACACAUUAAAAACAAUACUACUUUUUUACAAUACUGUAUGUGAAAAUGACAAAAUCUUGAAAAAGAUGGAGGUAACAUGUACUCUUUUUUUUUUAGAGGGGAGCAUGUACUUUUCCACUAACAAUGUUGAUAAGAAACAUAUAAAAUACUAUUAGAGAAAGAAAAAAAAUAAUAAAUAAAGAAAUAUAUAAAAUACUGAGGAAUGACUCACUCAUGUCAAAUUUUAGCAAGGGAGAAGUGAUAUCACAUCAUUUUAGAAGAGGAAUGAGAAUAGAUAGAUCUAAUUUUUCUAGUAAGUUUGAAUAGUAGAAUCAUACUUCUUUGUCUUUUGUGAAAAUUUCAUAUUAUGGGAUCUAUUACUAGAAUACAGGUGAUUUUAUUCUGGAAGAUUGACUUUUUAUUAAAAUAAAAUAAAAGUACAUUUUUUAUUUCCAAAUGCUUAGUUGUUCAUUUAUAAAUAUUACAUUAUCCAACAGCACCAAACCCUAUUUCAUAACGGUACUCUGCACGUUUCAUUCAUUUACUGGUGCCUUAGUUUUUUGUUACAAACAGACAUUGAUCAGAGGAACAAAUGUAGAGACAAAUUGAAGAUAAUAUAUCACAUAAUAUUGUAGACACACCUUCACAUACAAAUGGGGUAAAGUCCCUCAUAGUAGUAUUAGAAAUAACACUUAGAGUAAAAUUUUGCUAAAUUUAACAUGAAAAUAAGUGUAAUGUAUUUUAUAGGCAGCUAUACAUAAUUAUUAAUUAGAACAAUUUUUUACACUGUCAAACAAAAAUUGAACAAUUUUUUACUAGCUUUAUGCUUUAUGAUGUUUUGAUUCCAUGUGCACAUUUCAAUUUUAGAACUAUUCCUUUCUAUGUUACUGAAAUAAUUCUAUCAUUAGGCAUUGACAUUUCCAUUAUGCGUGCACGUUAAAGUGUUUUCCCAAACAGAGAAAUAUUAAGAAAGGUUAAACUUUUGACUUAAAGACACAACUAAAAUAAGAUCCAAGGAAAACCCCAUUGAUUAUUUCUUGCACAAAAUUAAAAACCCCAUUGAUUAUUUCUUGCACAAAAUUAAAAUGCUAAUAAUUUUUCCUGGUCUAUAUUUUUCUCCUUCCGGGAAAUGGCAACAUCACAUGUUCAUCUCAUAAUUGAGAAAACACAUGUCUGGGAAAAUAUCUUAAAGAAAAGGCAGUAAAGUAAUAAAAAGUGCACCAAAUAGAGAUUAACUAGUACUCUUUGCAUGUCAACUAAGUGGUAUAAUUAUGUAUAUCACAUUCUUAAUAUUGAUUAUCUUGAUUGCACGAUAAGCCCCUCAAAUUGCUCAAUCGAUGAUUGCUUGAUAAGCCCAUCAAAUUGCCCAAUCGAUCGAAUCGUAACUUUCGAUAGACAUUUUUUUUAAGAAAACCCAAUUGGAUCAUAACUCCCCAUAGUCAUUUAUUUGAAAUUGUGAGCAAUUUGAUAACUUAUUGAGCAAUCACCAUUGAUUUUAGUCUCAAUUUAUCCUAAUGUUGUAACCCUGGAAUAAUGGAACAGUGAGUAAAUUUGGUUUCUCCGUCUCAAAAUAAGUGUCACAAUUUAACCAUGUGCACUACUCAUCAAAUCUACUUUGACAACAUUUUUUUUACUAAUAUAUAAAGACAAUGUUAGUACAUUACAUGUUCGAUUUGUCUUAGUUAAUGUUUUUAAAAUAUCGACUUUAUUAUAAUUUUUCUUAAUAGACAAUCAAAAAUAUCAAUUGUCAAAAUUGUGUAUUGAUAUGUAUGAAAAUCAAACUAUAACACUUACUUUGAGACGAAGAGAAUAACUAUUAAAAACUAAUGUUCAAAUAGAAAGAAAAGAAAACAAAGAUUCCAUACAAAGCUUGCAAAAUAGCUACAAUCAUAACCUAGAACAAAAAUCAUGACCACACACUAUAUCCAUUUUCCUUUUCCUAAAAAGCAAUUGAAGAUAAAAAAAAAAAAAAUAAUAAAUAAAAAAAAAAAAAAAAAAAAAAAAAANACCACCAUACUACUACAAAUCCCCACCUCCACCAUCGCCUUCUCCUCCACCACCAUACUACUACAAAUCCCCACCUCCACCAUCGCCUUCUCCUCCACCACCAUACUACUACAAAUCCCCACCUCCACCAUCGCCUUCUCCUCCACCACCAUACUACUACAAAUCCCCACCUCCACCAUCGCCUUCUCCUCCACCACCAUACUACUACAAAUCCCCACCUCCACCAUCGCCUUCUCCUCCACCACCAUACUACUACAAAUCCCCACCUCCACCAUCGCCUUCUCCUCCACCACCAUACUACUACAAAUCCCCACCUCCACCAUCGCCUUCUCCUCCACCACCAUACUACUACAAAUCCCCACCUCCACCAUCGCCUUCUCCUCCACCACCAUACUACUACAAAUCCCCACCUCCACCAUCGCCUUCUCCUCCACCACCAUACUACUACAAAUCCCCACCUCCACCAUCGCCUUCUCCUCCACCACCAUACUACUACAAAUCCCCACCUCCACCAUCGCCUUCUCCUCCACCACCAUACUACUACAAAUCCCCACCUCCACCAUCGCCUUCUCCUCCACCACCAUACUACUACAAAUCCCCACCUCCACCAUCGCCUUCUCCUCCACCACCAUACUACUACAAAUCCCCACCUCCACCAUCGCCUUCUCCUCCACCACCAUACUACUACAAAUCCCCACCUCCACCAUCGCCUUCUCCUCCACCACCAUACUACUACAAAUCCCCACCUCCACCAUCGCCUUCUCCUCCACCACCAUACUACUACAAAUCCCCACCUCCACCAUCGCCUUCUCCUCCACCACCAUACUACUACAAAUCCCCACCUCCACCAUCGCCUUCUCCUCCACCACCAUACUACUACAAAUCCCCACCUCCACCAUCGCCUUCUCCUCCACCACCAUACUACUACAAAUCCCCACCUCCACCAUCGCCUUCUCCUCCACCACCAUACUACUACAAAUCCCCACCUCCACCAUCGCCUUCUCCUCCACCACCAUACUACUACAAAUCCCCACCUCCACCAUCGCCUUCUCCUCCACCACCAUACUACUACAAAUCCCCACCUCCACCAUCGCCUUCUCCUCCACCACCAUACUACUACAAAUCCCCACCUCCACCAUCGCCUUCUCCUCCACCACCAUACUACUACAAAUCCCCACCUCCACCAUCGCCUUCUCCUCCACCACCAUACUACUACAAAUCCCCACCUCCACCAUCGCCUUCUCCUCCACCACCAUACUACUACAAAUCCCCACCUCCACCAUCGCCUUCUCCUCCACCACCAUACUACUACAAAUCCCCACCUCCACCAUCGCCUUCUCCUCCACCACCAUACUACUACAAAUCCCCACCUCCACCAUCGCCUUCUCCUCCCCCACCUUACUAUUACAAAUCCCCACCGCCACCUUCACCAUCUCCCCCACCACCCUACUACUAUAAAUCACCCCCACCACCUUCACCAUCUCCUCCACCACCAUACUACUACAAAUCACCCCCACCGCCAUAUGAACACAAGACUAAACCAUACUAUUACAAGUCUCCUCCACCACCAUAUGAACACAAGACUAAACCAUACUAUUACAAGUCCCCACCACCACCUUCACCAUCUCCUCCACCACCAUACUAUUACAAGUCCCCACCACCACCUUCACCGUCUCCACCCCCACCAUACUACUACAAAUCACCUCCUCCUCCAUCACCUAUUCCCCAUACACCUUACUACUACAAGUCCCCACCACCACCUAAGGUUCUUCCACCACCAUACUAUUACAACUCUCCUCCUCCACCUGUUGUGUAUCAUCACCCUCAUCCCUACCACCAUGCAUUGAUCGUGAAGGUAGUGG
This 10784-nucleotide long non-coding RNA is filed under the name Medicago truncatula (barrel medic). RNAcentral describes it as "long non-coding RNA (MTRU_LNC000785)". Lineage: Eukaryota; Viridiplantae; Streptophyta; Magnoliopsida; Fabales; Fabaceae. The record is from RNAcentral.